This is a long non-coding RNA of Cynoglossus semilaevis (tongue sole), 773 nucleotides long. RefSeq lists it as uncharacterized. NCBI's taxonomy places the organism in Eukaryota, Metazoa, Chordata, Actinopteri, Pleuronectiformes, Cynoglossidae. The transcript has 2 exons. The record is from RefSeq and is a predicted model, not a curated record.
UUUUUUUUACAUUGUGCUCAAUAGACCGAGGUGUUGGACGACAUACAUCUGUGGUGGGAGGUGUGACGUCACAGGCUGCAUCAUUAAAUAUUCUCUUCUCUUUUCUUUAACAUCCUGCUGGAUUUUGGUUAAAUCCACACACACACACACACACACCCACAGGGCACCCAAAAACAUGUAUUGAAUUUCCAUUCUCUCGCUCAGACAAACCUGUGUUCAGCUAACACCCAUCAGACACUCAGGUUGCACUCCCGUCGGCCAAUCAGAGAGCGCUGCUGUCGUACAGUGUUGCUAAUGAAAGCGAGUCAGUGUCUUUGAAGUGUUUGUAUAUUAACGCGGAUGAAAAAAAAAAAACCUCCGUGUGUUUGCUACAACGUGCCUCGUCUUGCAGCCUGUAUCAACCUGCGGUGUUUACACGCAACCAGGAUUCUUUUCUGUUUGCUUGGUGUUUUUUUUGUUGUUGUUAUUUUUCUUAUUUGAACCAAGGUGAGGAGAUCAAAGCCGAGUUCACAGGAAACAACGUUAAUAACCGACACCGUCGUCAAUGACCCGAUCAGACCCAGACCAGACGACAUGGCAGCUCCGAGCUACAACUCUCACGACUCUGUCAAAAGUCUCAGCCUUGAUGGCAGCACAGCAGCUUCAUCUGCCAUUCUCAGAGGUCCUGCGACUCUCUGCGGUGUCAGGGGUCACACGUCUGACUUAUCAACAAUCUGCACCAGGUUCCAUUUGCACUUUAAUAUCGACGUAAACAGUUCCAGUGGGAACUGUUU